GACGAACGCUGGCGGCGUGCCUAAUACAUGCAAGUUGAGCGCUGAAGGUUGGUACUUGUACCAACUGGAUGAGCAGCGAACGGGUGAGUAACGCGUGGGGAAUCUGCCUUUGAGCGGGGGACAACAUUUGGAAACGAAUGCUAAUACCGCAUAAAAACUUUAAACACAAGUUUUAAGUUUGAAAGAUGCAAUUGCAUCACUCAAAGAGGAUCCCGCGUUGUAUUAGCUAGUUGGUGAGGUAAAGGCUCACCAAGGCGAUGAUACAUAGCCGACCUGAGAGGGUGGUCGGCCCAAUUGGGACUGGGACACGGCCCAAACUCCUAAGGGGGGCAGCAGUAGGGAAUCUUCGGCAAUGGACGAAAGUCUGACCGCGCAACGCCGCGUGAGUGAAGAAGGGUUUCGGAUCGUAAAACUCUGUUGGUAGAGAAGAAAGUUGGUGAGAGUGGAAAGCUCAUCAAGUGACGGUAACUACACAGAAAGGGACGGCUAACUACGUG
This 497-nucleotide ribosomal RNA is filed under the name uncultured bacterium. Its description in RNAcentral is "partial 16S ribosomal RNA". It matches the Rfam family "Bacterial small subunit ribosomal RNA", at positions 28 to 507 of the family's 1533-position model. The record is from RNAcentral.